This is a long non-coding RNA of Heterocephalus glaber (naked mole-rat), 295 nucleotides long. RefSeq lists it as uncharacterized. The record is from RefSeq and is a predicted model, not a curated record. NCBI's taxonomy places the organism in Eukaryota, Metazoa, Chordata, Mammalia, Rodentia, Bathyergidae.
GACGAUCAGCUUUUCUUCUGCCACGCCCCUGUGCCAUGCCAUCCUGCCAUGGAGCCAGAUGAACAUGGUCUGAAAUAUGUUGUCUUCAACUUUCUUGCUUCCUAUGCUACAAGGAAUGAACCUGAUCCUUUCUGUCCUGCAGCUCCAGGUCCAGAAACACAUGUGUAAAAUAUUCUUGAAGAAAAGCAGUGUUCUCAUCACAAAAAUGACAACUAUGUGAGCCAGGCAUGGUGGUGCACGCCUGUGAUCCCAGCACUUGGGAGGCUGUGGCAGGAGGGCUGUCAUGAGUUUGAGG